AGUGAACGCUGGCGGUAGGCCUAACACAUGCAAGUCGAACGGCAGCACAGUAAGAGCUUGCUCUUACGGGUGGCGAGUGGCGGACGGGUGAGGAAUACAUCGGAAUCUACUUUUUCGUGGGGGAUAACGUAGGGAAACUUACGCUAAUACCGCAUACGACCUACGGGUGAAAGCAGGGGAUCUUCGGACCUUGCGCGAUUGAAUGAGCCGAUGUCGGAUUAGCUAGUUGGCGGGGUAAAGGCCCACCAAGGCGACGAUCCGUAGCUGGUCUGAGAGGAUGAUCAGACACACUGGAACUGAGACACGGUCCAGACUCCUAGGGGAGGCAGCAGUGGGGAAUAUUGGACAAUGGACGCAAGCCUGAUCCAGCCAUACCGCGUGGGUGAAGAAGGCCUUCGGGUUGUAAAGCCCUUUUGUUGGGAAAGAAAAGCAGCAGGUUAAUACCCCGCUGUUCUGACGGUACCCAAAGAAUAAGCACCGGCUAACUUCGUG
This 492-nucleotide ribosomal RNA is filed under the name uncultured bacterium. Its description in RNAcentral is "partial 16S ribosomal RNA". It matches the Rfam family "Bacterial small subunit ribosomal RNA", at positions 29 to 507 of the family's 1533-position model. The record is from RNAcentral.